UGAUUUACCUGGUAGGGGAGAUGAUCCAGAAGGUGGUUCACCCAGAGUGAGACUCAGCCAUUGCACCGCUGCGAAUUACCAAAACGUGGGAGUCUCACCUGCAUAAUUGUUGGUUGGAGGGAAUGUUUGUACUCUCC
RNAcentral lists this small nuclear RNA (137 nucleotides) under Labrus bergylta (ballan wrasse). RNAcentral's name for it is "U1 spliceosomal RNA (ENSLBEG00000001588.1)". It matches the Rfam family "U1 spliceosomal RNA". Rfam says of the family: U1 is a small nuclear RNA (snRNA) component of the spliceosome (involved in pre-mRNA splicing). Its 5' end forms complementary base pairs with the 5' splice junction, thus defining the 5' donor site of an intron. The record is from RNAcentral. Lineage: Eukaryota; Metazoa; Chordata; Actinopteri; Labriformes; Labridae.